UACGUAGGGUGCAAGCGUUAAUCGGAAUUAUUGGGCGUAAAGAGCUCGUAGGCGGUCUGUUGCGUCGGCUGUGAAAACCCGGGGCUCGACCCCGGGCCUGCAGCCGAUACGGGCAGACUAGAGUUCGGCAGGGGAGACUGGAAUUCCUGGUGUAGCGGUGAAAUGCGCAGAUAUCAGGAGGAACACCGGUGGCGAAGGCGGGUCUCUGGGCCGAUACUGACGCUGAGGAGCGAAAGCGUGGGGAGCGAACAGG
This 253-nucleotide ribosomal RNA is filed under the name uncultured bacterium. RNAcentral's name for it is "partial 16S ribosomal RNA". It matches the Rfam family "Bacterial small subunit ribosomal RNA", at positions 524 to 776 of the family's 1533-position model. The record is from RNAcentral.